Molecule: non-coding RNA, 24 nt
Filed under: Arabidopsis thaliana (thale cress)
Lineage: Eukaryota; Viridiplantae; Streptophyta; Magnoliopsida; Brassicales; Brassicaceae
Source: RNAcentral
AGACCUCUUUGUCUGCUGCCUCCA